UUCUCCUUCCCCUUCCUUCCCCUCGUUCCCUUUCUUCUUUCCCAAGUUAUCUUUUCUUUCUUUCCUGUUUUUGUAAAGGAAAACUCAAAAUUUCCUGCUUUCAUUAUUGAAUGUUACUCUGAUUAUUGCAGGGAAGAGGGAGAGUCACAGAUAGAUUCAGCCUUCUCUGGGGAUAUUUGCAUUUUUAAAAGAAGAGCUUAAUAAAGUGACCUGAUUAUUUAUUUGUAUGAAUAAGAGGAUAUCACUCUAGCCUCAUCUCUAUUGCCACUAACAGUAGCUCCAAGAUUAACUUUGCAAGCCCUCAUGUCUAGCGCCAGGUUCAAAGCAUGUAGUAGGUCUUUAUUUUGUACAUAAAUAGAACCUAGUGUUCUCUUCUUUUCUAAGAUUACUGCCACUUUCUGACCCCAAAGCUGUUCUGUAACCUUUUAAUUAUUUCAUAUUCCCCUUCGAAGCUGUUUGUUCUCACAAAGAAAACAUCAAAAAAAAAUCCUUCCAUAGGAAACAAAGGAAAAAGGGCAAAAUGGAACUGUGGUACUCCAAUCCUUUUGCUUUGUUUUAUGGCAAGAGGCAUAGUUGAUGUCUCAAUAGGUUUUAGGAGGAGAGGUUGAAAAAGAAGGCCUAGCUAAAAUACUAAAAUAGAGAAGUUUCCUCCUUUCCUGCAUCAGAACUACUUCCUUUAAUUUGCUCUUCUCCCAUCUUCUGUCACCAAGUAUUUUGUUUAAGGUUUAAUAAGGUUCCUCUAUUAUAAUAUUUUGAGUCUGGAUAUUUUUAUAAAGAUAAAUUGAGCUUACAAACUUUUUAUUGUUUCUGUUUUCCAACUCUCCAUAUUCUUCAUGUCUAUAUAGUGUGAUAUGUGGUGGUUCAACCAUAUAUCCUGAAGAAGUUUUAAGAGUUGCUAUUAUAUCCUCUUUCUAGAAUGUAGAAAGGUGUUAUAUUUGGUUUAGAAUGUUAAGAGUCAGAAGUUUCAAAAUUUUCUUAGUCAUAGGGGAAUAGAUUUUUGCAAAGUAGAAAAUUUAAAUCAACACAGACGGUUUUUAGGCUAAACCAAAUGCUGAAAUUCACUUGACGUAUUUUUUCUGUUAACUUUGUGUGAGACCAGAUUAUUUUGUCUCACUUUCUCCCAUCUACAAAACAAAGAUAUGAUUACCUACCUCAUAGAGUUAUUUGUAGUUGUUAAAAAUUUGUAUGAAAGUAAGUAACUAGUUGGUUUCUAAGAAUAGUGUUUGAAUAGUAGUCGUAGUAGUACUAGUAGCAGUAGUAGACUUUUUAUAUUUGCCAUGUCAACACAAACCUUAGUGAAUUAACUAGUAGUUAAGGUUUCAAGUUUACAUCUGCAUUUUCAGAAUUGAGGAUACUUGCUGUAUGUGGCUGGAAUACUGUUUUGUUACAGGAAAUUACGUGUAGUACUUGAAGGUCCUUGAUCUCUACAAAUGUAUAAGCUUAGCAUAGCUGAAGGGAGAAUUGGAUUUAGAGAAUCUAUGAAUCUGGACACCAGCAGUAUGUGAGCAAGUUUUUUAAUUUCAAGUCUUCAGUUUCUUCAUCAAUAAAGUAAAAAGGUUGGGCCUUCUGCUCUCCCUAGGGUCUCUUACCCUUACCAUUCUUUGACUUCUGAUACAAGAUUCCUUUAUGUCAUAGUACAUCUACUUAAAAAUAAAAUGCUUUGAAAUUUAACACAUAUUAGUUUUCUAAGUAUAAGCAAAUCAUUUAAUCUCCUAGAUCCUCAGUUUCCUUAUCUGAAAUAUUUGUACUGUUUGUUUCAGAGGAUUGCUAUGAAGAAACUUCUUUUUCCUUAAAAUACUAUGUGUGAGUUGCUGUUAUUGUUAUUUUGAGUAUAGUAUUUCUUAAGCAUAUAUUUAUUGAUUAACUAGAGCAAGAGACUUUAUGAAAAAUAUGAUUUAUUUCUUGCCUAGAAACAAACAAACAAACAAAAAGUUAGUUUUCAAUAGAAAGAGAGCGGUCCAAUCUACUGUCAUUUAUUGAAUUUUAGUGUAUUCUUGAAAACUGCAUUUCCCCUAACUCUUAAAAAAAAAUUCCUGUCUCCAUUUAAUUUUUUUUUUUUACUGUAGCUUGAUUGUUUCAAACAUAUUUGUUUACGUCUAAAGUCUGAUAUGAAAGUCUGAGAGGUUUUUAUACUUUUUCACAGAAGAAACUUAUUCUUCAGGUUGAAGAUUCCCAUUUCUAAAUUACAUUCCACUUAAUCAGGCAAUUUCAACUAUCUUGUUAACAUCUUUAUGAACUUUUUAGAAAUUGGGGGGUUUUUGCUUUUGUUUUUAUGAACUAUAGGCAUUAAAUUUCCUUUACAGUUUCUCCUUAAUUUUAAAAAAUUCUUUCAAAAUUAAUUAGCAUUAUAAAAUAUACUAAUAAUGGUAUUUGGAACAAGAUGCUCAUAACUACCAGAUUGGGGAAAUAGUUAUAUUAUCAUGUAUUGGUUCUUUAAAAGGUUGAAGGCUAUGCCAUGGUCAGUGGCUGUAGACAGAUUUAUGUCAUUAUAUCACAAAAGAAAUUUUACAAGUUUGAUUUAGAAUAGGGAUUUUUGUCUACUAAGUUGCUCUUUGAGAUGCUUAUGGUUAGUGUAUCAAAUAAAGCAUGCUUUAUUUGUCUUGUUAAAUUUAAUGAUCUUAAACUUAGCUUAACAACAAUUGCUGGGUAAAAGAUUUCAGGAAUUUGUGAAUAUUUACAAAUAAAACUCUUUGGGGGCUGUUUGCAAACAAAAACACUUAACUGUUCAGAAAUUAUUGAUGACCCAUGAGAAAUUAAAUGAAGAGCUGGUGCUCUGUUUCAUACUGCUAUCAAAGAAUGUAAAGUCAGGCUUUGUGCAGGAUUCUUCCAGACAAAUGCGUAUUCCAUGUGGGCCACUGUUCUGCUAAAUGCUCUCAGUUCUCCUUUUGCAAUCAAGAUUAUGUUGCUAAGGAGAUUUUGCUUUUAUUGGUGCCAUUGAUUUGUGUUAAUACGUUUUGAAUACCUCUUGGUAUUCUUCCUUAGACAAGGCCAAAAGAAAAACUUCCCCGAGUUUCCCAAUUUACAUCACAAAUGGAGCGGUGGUGUAAUGAAGCCGAUAUAAAGUGGGCAGUUGAAAGGGAACUAAAGAAGGGCACUCAAGUGAGAAAUGAAGAAAUGUGCCGAGUGCAGGCUGUGGCUGCCUUCGUCCAGCUGCAGGAACUGGCUCCAGCCUGAGGCCGGGGGAGAGGGAGCGCCUCCCUCCCAAAAGACCACCCACUUUCUGUGGCCUUGCUUGGCACUCCACGGAUUACCUCAUUGACGAAGAUGGGGCCAUCACAAAGCCAGAAGAAAUGGUUCUUAGCCCUGGAGCUCCUUGACUUGUUUCACCCAGAGCAUGGCUAAGACCACACUUUGGAUUCUAGGUGAUCUCCAAGUAGUUGAAGGGGGGAUCCCCAAGGAUGAGGGACCAGACCCUUGAACGUCUAGGUUGGUGCGUCUCCUUCGUGGGGGAGACGACCGGGUUUGGCUACCUGCUCCUUUUUCCUAUGGCGCUCUCCCCCAUCAGCAUUGUGAGUGGAUCCUGAGCCUAAGAAAGGGAUUUGAUCUGACUUAUUAAUUGGCUUGCUUGCAACUUAGUAAGUGCUGUGUAGAAGAGCAUCUAGUUAGAAGAGCUGAGCCCUUCAUGUUCUUAACCCCUUUGGGAGCUUCCAUUCAGAGAUGACAAUGUUCCAGAGAGGGACACAGUCACAUGGACUCCAUUAAUGUUAUGCACUGAUAGCACUAAGAUUUCGGGCUAUUGCUUUUAAUUUUUUGAAAGUUACUUAGGCUUAACAAGUUCUGUGGGGAAAGUAAUUUCUAGAUGAGGUUUAAAGGAAAUUCGGAAUUUGACACAACAUGGAGAGUCCCAAUUUAUAAAUACAGCUGCAAAUGUGUAAUAAGCUUGUAUAAAAAAACCUUUCUUCAGAAUAAAAUUAGGUGGUGAAUUGAUUCGGCAAAAUAAUUAUAAAUUUAAACUCUUAAGUGUUGUAACACUGAACUGAGCAAGAAAUACAUUCUCCAAAGGCAUUCUAAGGUCACUGGGAAGCAUGUAAUUUAUGGAUAGUGUGAUUUGGUAUAGAAAGGUCUCGGUUUCUUCUGUCAACAGUAUCUUUUCGAAAGCCUUUCAAAGAACGAGAAAACCCAAAGAUUGAAAUCAAUAGAAAUCAACUAUUCUGUUUUCAAUGGUGAAAAUCCAAAGCUGUGUAGGCAGUAAAGAUCUUGGUGUAAUUCUCCUUAAGUCCAUAAUUGAUUUGGAUGUUUCUUGACAAAUACUGGUCUGGUUUCAGAAACACUUUCAGUGAAUGAAUUUCAAUUUCAAAGAAGAGUGACAUUAAAAAUGAUGGAAAUUUUAAUUUUAAAACUUCACUCUUCUAUCCACAUUAACUUUGGUUUCCCACAAUGUCCCUAGGUAUUCAAGUUAGUGAGGGAAAAAAAAUAUAUGAACAUUUCUUCCAUAUUGGAAUUCACUUAAGCAGAACUGGAACUUAAAAACUUAUUGCUUAAUAGGGUAAUGAGACCAUGGUUCACGUCCUGUGUAUUAAGAAGGAAUAUGAAGUUAAAAAAUCUGAUCCCUAAUGUGUUUUGUUUUUAGCUUUUGACAUAUAUCUGGUAACACUAGAGAAAUUACUGUCAACUAAGAAAAGAAAUAGUUUCUUUUUCAGCCACCCCAUGUUUCUUAUAUUGAAAUGCCAGGUGCAAUCCUUGGACUCUUGUCUGGAUGAUGAGUGAUAUUAAUAAAGAGAAACUUUGGAAUAUUUGUGAAUAAAGCAUGACAUCACGAAAAGAGGUAUUUCAGAAUAAAGUAACUACUUUGCA
Molecule: long non-coding RNA, 4794 nt
Organism: Sarcophilus harrisii (Tasmanian devil)
Lineage: Eukaryota; Metazoa; Chordata; Mammalia; Dasyuromorphia; Dasyuridae
Exons: 2
Source: RefSeq, a predicted model, not a curated record